Molecule: long non-coding RNA, 1297 nt
Organism: Symphalangus syndactylus (siamang)
Lineage: Eukaryota; Metazoa; Chordata; Mammalia; Primates; Hylobatidae
Source: RefSeq, a predicted model, not a curated record
GUGCAAAGCGAGGGUCUCGGACGCCGUUUCUUGUGUUCAUCAUAUACACAGAACAGCCCUGCUGCAAAGAUGGUCAACGUACCUAAACCUGAAGAACCUUCUGUAAGAAGUGUGGCAAGCAUCAGCCUCACUAAGUGACACUGCUAGGUAACUAGAGCACCCUAAUGGCGCUGGUUCUGGGUUCUUCCUCAAUGCAAACCCGCCAAAGGAAAAACCAAUCAGAGAGAGGUGUUUUUCCCGCCUUGCUCUAAGCCCCACCCCAACCAAUCACAAACAUCCACGCAGCCCUCCUGGGCAUAAAAGAAGCAAACCCCCCACCCACCGCUCUCUCUCUCUCUCUCCUGCCCUGCCUAGCCUGCUGCCUCCAAUAAAGAUCUCUUGGCUGAGCCAGUGUGCCGUGGUCUUAAGUCUGAGAGUCACUCUUUCAUUGGUGCCGUGACUCGGAUUGGGACUCCCCGCCUCCGGUGGGACCCCAGUCCCCCUCAGACUCAGACCAGGCCCCAGCCGGCCUUCGCCCAAUUUUCCGUCCACCGAACAGCGCAUCCACCACCGGCUCCUGUUUGUUGGCAGCCUACGACUGACGGGGCCCUAGGACCUCUUCCUGACACACACCAUCACCACGCAGGAGCCCAGGGUGCCUCUUGCGACUUUUAACCAGCUUCUCAUCAGGCACUACCAACUCCUAGCAACCGAAGAAGACGACCAGGACUCACCUACCCAUGGCCUCCACCUCCAGGACCUGUAAUUUCUUAGAUUUCCUCCAGGCCCUCCAAGAAGAUACGUGGCUCACAGCAGAUCCUUCCCUGCCACACAGAUGGCUCGCGUCCAUAGAUGACCUCUACUUACAAGGGACAUCUUUAGACUUCACACCCCGGGAAGUGUUCACCUUAAGCGCCGUCUUCCUUGGCCUCCUGCUAUUGCUCUGCCCCUACAGUCCUCCAAUAUCCCUUCCCACGACGCCCCCGUUCAGCAGGAAGUAGCCAGACAAACAGGGACGCCCACCUCCCCACUUCUUAAAAAACAAAAAAGGGAGGAAUGUUAGGUAACUAAAGUACCCUAAUGGCGCUGGUUCCGGGUUCUUCUUCCUCAAUGCAAACCCGCCAAAGGAAAAACCAAUCAGAGAGAGGUGUUUUUCCCGCCUCGCUCUAAGCCCCACCCCAACCAAUCACAAACAUCCACGCAGCCCUCCUGGGCAUAUAAGAAGCAAACCCCCCACCGCUCGCUCUCUCUCUCUCUCUCUCUCCUGCCGUGCCUAGCCUGCUGCCUCCAAUAAAGAUCUCUUGGCUGAGCCGGUGUG